Molecule: ribosomal RNA, 315 nt
Filed under: uncultured eukaryote
Lineage: Eukaryota
Description: partial 18S ribosomal RNA
Rfam family: Eukaryotic small subunit ribosomal RNA
Source: RNAcentral
CCCUUAGACGUUCUGGGCCGCACGCGCGCUACACUGACCAGUGCAACAAGCAUCCGUCCUUGGCCGACAGGCUCGGGCAAUCUUUGAACGCUGGUCGUGAUGGGGAUAGACUUUUGCAAUUUUUGGUCUUCAACGAGGAAUUCCUAGUAAACGCAAGUCAUCAACUUGCAUUGAUUACGUCCCUGCCCUUUGUACACACCGCCCGUCGCACCUACCGAUUGAAUGGUCCGGUGAAGCCUCCGGAUUGGCGCGCACCUCGGUGCCGCCGAGAAGUUGGCUAAACCUUACCAUUUAGAGGAAGGUGANGUCGUNACA